RNAcentral lists this ribosomal RNA (424 nucleotides) under uncultured bacterium. RNAcentral's name for it is "bacterial SSU rRNA". It matches the Rfam family "Bacterial small subunit ribosomal RNA", at positions 355 to 776 of the family's 1533-position model. The record is from RNAcentral.
UGAGGAAUAUUGCGCAAUGGACGAAAGUCUGACGCAGCCAUGCCGCGUGCAGGAAGACGGCGCUACGCGUUGUAAACUGCUUUUAUAUACCAAGAAACCUCAGGACGUGUCCUGAGCUGACGGUAGUAUAUGAAUAAGCACCGGCUAACUCCGUGCCAGCAGCCGCGGUAAUACGGAGGGUGCAAGCGUUAUCCGGAUUUAUUGGGUUUAAAGGGUCCGUAGGCGGAUGAUUAAGUCAGUGGUGAAAGCCCACAGCUCAACUGUGGAACUGCCAUUGAUACUGAUUGUCUUGAGUACGUUUGAUGUUGGCGGAAUAUGUCAUGUAGCGGUGAAAUGCUUAGAUAUGACAUAGAACACCGAUUGCGAAGGCAGCCAACAAAGCCGUAACUGACGCUGAGGGACGAAAGCGUGGGGAGCGAACAGG